Long non-coding RNA from Leptinotarsa decemlineata (Colorado potato beetle), 611 nucleotides. The record is from RefSeq and is a predicted model, not a curated record. NCBI's taxonomy places the organism in Eukaryota, Metazoa, Arthropoda, Insecta, Coleoptera, Chrysomelidae.
AUAUUCGGUCUCUCGUAACCUUUGGUAUUCAUAAAAAUCUCUGGUUCGGAAUCAUCAAAUAAUCAGCUUGAACACUCGGAUCAUCUGUAACAAUUCGAAUGAAUUGUUGAUUGACGGUUUUGUAAAUACAUACAUGACUCACUGGGAGAACAAAACCAUCAUUCAAUUAUCACUAACUCCAAAUACAAACGACAUGAAAGUAUUCGCAAUUUCCAGUAAUCAACUCUUCAUCAUUAGGCAGAUUAAUCAGUAGCCAUUUUUGUUGUGAUCAUUCGUCUGGGGAUCGAGUCAGUAACCGACAGACUGUUGUCUUAUUAAUAUACAGUGCCAUGUUUUCAACUACUGGGAUGUCGAUAUUAGUGAUAUUUGGGGCUUUGAUUUGUUUGACCCUGGCACACAAGGACUUUUACACCGAAGAAGAAUUUCAGAAAAUCAAACAAGAGGCGGAGAGAAGGAAAGCAGUUCAAAUAACCACCACUGAGGCAUCCCAGGAAAUUACUACUAUAGGAUUUCCAAAUAGAUUUUUAGUCAACUUACCUUGUAAACUGCCUUACAAAAAAAUCAAAGGGAUAUGUAGGAAAACAUUCUAACAUUAAAAAAAUAAUAAAAUG